UACGGAGGGUGCAAGCGUUAUCCGGAUUCACUGGGUUUAAAGGGUGCGUGGGUGGGCAGGUAAGUCCGUGGUGAAAUCCCCGAGCUUAACUCGGGAACUGCCAUGGAUACUAUUUGUCUUGAAUAUUGUGGAGGUAAGCGGAAUAUGUCAUGUAGCGGUGAAAUGCUUAGAUAUGACAUAGAACACCAAUUGCGAAGGCAGCUUACUACACAGUUAUUGACGCUGAGGCACGAAAGCGUGGGGAUCAAACAGG
RNAcentral lists this ribosomal RNA (253 nucleotides) under uncultured bacterium. RNAcentral describes it as "partial 16S ribosomal RNA". It matches the Rfam family "Bacterial small subunit ribosomal RNA", at positions 524 to 776 of the family's 1533-position model. The record is from RNAcentral.